CAGUCUCUUUUAGCAAAGCAACCUCCAACUGCUGCUGGAAGGCCUGUGGAUGCAUCACCAAGAGUCCCUGGAGGCUCUCCUCGAACACCAAACAGAUCCGUGUCAUCCAAUGUUGCCAGCGUGUCCCCCAUCCCUGCAGGAUCCAAAAAAAUUGAUCCCAACAUGAAAGCUGGAGCAACCAGCGAAGGGGUCCUGGCAAAUUUCUUCAACAGUCUGUUGAGUAAGAAGACUGGCUCUUGAUUGACUCAGAAGUCUACACUUUUUUCAGGUAAGACUAUUCCAAUCACUUUUAAAGAUACCAUGUUUUUCUGAAGAAGACUGGUCAGUUGUCAGAUUUCGCACACCAACCAACAGCUGUGUGGUGACGCCUGCGAUGUGCUGAGAAACUCACAGUCGCGCACUCCGUGACCCAUGAGCCACCAUCAAAUGGACCAGAACCAGUGGCCAAGAGGCUCCUUUAAUCAAGAGAAAGAAAGCACACCGCCUGAGGGCGACCGAUGCAGAGGUUGUGAACGUGGAGAGAGAACCGGCUUUGCAGUUGUUUAUACACAUAUAUAUAUCUAUAUAUAUGUAUGUAUAUAUAUGGCUCUGCCUUAAUAUACUCCUUUUUGUUCAUGACUUUCAACUGUAAUCAGUUAAUAAAGUAUUUAUUCUCUGC
This 658-nucleotide long non-coding RNA is filed under the name Rattus norvegicus (Norway rat). RNAcentral describes it as "long non-coding RNA NONRATT028120". The record is from RNAcentral. Lineage: Eukaryota; Metazoa; Chordata; Mammalia; Rodentia; Muridae.